RNAcentral lists this non-coding RNA (99 nucleotides) under pig gut metagenome. The record is from RNAcentral.
AUUCAGGGGUGCUGACGGUAAGUCGGCUGAGAUUACGAAUACUCCUUCGUUGACCCUUAAACCUGAUACGGAUAAUGCCGUCGUAGGAAGUGUAAAAUA